RNAcentral lists this transfer RNA (72 nucleotides) under Saprospirales bacterium. Its description in RNAcentral is "tRNA-Gln". It matches the Rfam family "tRNA". From Rfam's summary of the family: Transfer RNA (tRNA) molecules are approximately 80 nucleotides in length. Their secondary structure includes four short double-helical elements and three loops (D, anti-codon, and T loops). The record is from RNAcentral. Lineage: Bacteria; Pseudomonadati; Bacteroidota; Saprospiria; Saprospirales.
AGACCCAUGGUGUAAUUGGUAACACGGCAGAUUUUGGUUCUGUAAUCCUAGGUUCGAGUCCUAGUGGGUCUA